GACCCUGUGGCGCAAUGGAUAACGCGUCUGCAUACGGAGCAGGAGAUUUCAGGUUCGAGUCCUGCCGUGGACG
This is a non-coding RNA of Angiostrongylus costaricensis, 73 nucleotides long. Lineage: Eukaryota; Metazoa; Nematoda; Chromadorea; Rhabditida; Metastrongylidae. The record is from Rfam.